RNAcentral lists this ribosomal RNA (798 nucleotides) under uncultured Actinomycetes bacterium. RNAcentral's name for it is "bacterial SSU rRNA". It matches the Rfam family "Bacterial small subunit ribosomal RNA", at positions 75 to 888 of the family's 1533-position model. The record is from RNAcentral. Lineage: Bacteria; Bacillati; Actinomycetota; Actinomycetes.
CGGGGCAACUCGGUGGGUACAGCGGCGGAAGGGUGCGUAAUACAUGGAUAACGUACCCCCCAGUUCGGGAUAACCCUCCGAAAGGUGGGCUAAUACCGGGUAAUGGCAGCGGGUGGCAUCAUUUGCUGCUUAAAGACGCAAGUCGCUGGGGGAGCGGUCCAUGGCCUAUCAGCUAGUUGGCGGGGUAACGGCCCACCAAGGCAAUGACGGGUAGCCGGACUGAGAGGUUGAACGGCCACACGGGAACUGAGACACGGUCCCGACAUCUACGGAUGGCAGCAGUAGGGAAUCUUGCGCAAUGGGCGAAAGCCUGACGCAGCGACACCGCGUGGGGGAUGAAGGCCUUCGGGUUGUAAACCCCUUUCAUGAGGGAAGAACACUGACCUAACCUCAGGAAGAAGCACCGGCUAACUCCGUGCCAGCAGCUGCGGUAAUACGGAGAGUGCAAACGUUGUUCGGAUUCACUGGGCGUAAAGGGCACGUAGGCGGCUCGGCAAAUCGGUCGUGGAAUCUCGACGCUUACCGUCGAAACGGCGGCCGAAAAUACCGGGCUCGAGGGCGUGAGGGGUCACUGGAACUCCUGGUGAAGCGGUGAAAUGCGUAGAUAUCAGGAGGAACGCCGGAGGCGAAAGCGAGUGACUGGCGCGUUCCUGACGCUGAGGUGCGAAAGCUAGGGGAGCAAACAGGAUUAGAUACCCUGGUAGUCCUAGCCGUAAACGAUGGACACUGAGUGGAGGAGGGCUUGCCUUUCUCUGCUGCAGCUAACGCGUUAAGUGUCCCGCCUGGGGAGUACGGCCG